CUUAGUGUACCUAGUCUACUUAAUCAACACUUAGUGUAUUUAGUGUUUCAGCUUAGUGUAGAGAGGCUUCUUUCUUCCUUUUCUGGAGGAGUCAGUGGUUAGAGACGAUUUCCGUGGUUAGAGCGUACUUGGUCUUUAGAAGACGACUUUGGUGUCCAUUGCCAACCCCAUCAGAGAUCGCAGGCCUUUUCCCCUCAGUCCCAGCUCAUCAGCAAAGGUCUGGGUGGCUGUCUCCAGAGGAGACUGAACGAGGUUGUCAAAGCGGCUGGAUCAAAAGUGUUGCCAUGUCGGAUGGAGUGGUGUCCACGAUGAACCUGAGCAUGGAGAUUUCUCCCUCUGCGCUGAGGAUCUCACUGUGCACCUCCAGCCCUGGGUCCUGGUGGGCUCUGGUGGCCACUGGAGUCUUUGGAACUGCCUCCCUCUGGCUCUGCUGGGGUUGGAUUCGGGCAUCGAUGUCACACCCAGCAGGAACAACUGGGGCCACUGGAGGAUCCCCAAG
Molecule: non-coding RNA, 499 nt
Organism: Homo sapiens (human)
Lineage: Eukaryota; Metazoa; Chordata; Mammalia; Primates; Hominidae
Source: RefSeq, a predicted model, not a curated record